Puccinia triticina 1-1 BBBD Race 1 is the source of this 107-nucleotide transfer RNA. It matches the Rfam family "tRNA". Rfam says of the family: Transfer RNA (tRNA) molecules are approximately 80 nucleotides in length. Their secondary structure includes four short double-helical elements and three loops (D, anti-codon, and T loops). The record is from Rfam. NCBI's taxonomy places the organism in Eukaryota, Fungi, Basidiomycota, Pucciniomycetes, Pucciniales, Pucciniaceae.
GGGCAGAUGGCCGAGUGGUCUAAGGCGCUAGUUUUAGGUGUGUCAGCGGUUUCUGGCGAGUUAACAUCACUAGUCUUCGGGCGUGGGUUCAAAUCCCACUCUGCUCA